Molecule: long non-coding RNA, 147 nt
Organism: Thalassophryne amazonica
Lineage: Eukaryota; Metazoa; Chordata; Actinopteri; Batrachoidiformes; Batrachoididae
Exons: 3
Source: RefSeq, a predicted model, not a curated record
UUAUUUUUGGUUAAAGGGUUAGGCGUUAAAAAGCUUUGCUUCUGUCUAUACCCUUUCAGGCACAUGGAUGCAUUGUUAAUUCAUUUUCUUUCUUCGUUGUAAGUUUUUUUGUUGUUGUUUUGGACUGUGUCUGUGUGUGUCUGUGUG